GUACUUGGUUUUUACAGGUUUUUUUUUUUUUUCCAGUAAAUGGUUCAGAACUGUGAAGUUAAUUCCUAGCAGAUCACUGUCUGAGGUGAUCACAUUGAAACGAUUCAGAAAGAAACUAUUAAACUGCCUUCAAGUUAAAUUUAAAUAGGCAGUAUCAAAGGCACAAGGGGAAGGUGGUAAGGACUGGUUCAAGGAAAAUGGGAGUCAUUUCUGCAACUGAAGGCAUGUCUCAUGGAGGUUGAUGGUCCACCAUGGUCUGGAAGAGGGAAUACACUUUGGAUAGUGUUCCAGCAUGGGAUAGAUUGGUUUCCUGAAGCACAUCCUUUCUCCCAGCAUUUCCACGCAAAUCCAUAA
RNAcentral lists this long non-coding RNA (354 nucleotides) under Numida meleagris (helmeted guineafowl). Its description in RNAcentral is "lncRNA (ENSNMEG00000001678.1)". The record is from RNAcentral. Lineage: Eukaryota; Metazoa; Chordata; Aves; Galliformes; Numididae.